This 440-nucleotide ribosomal RNA is filed under the name uncultured bacterium. RNAcentral describes it as "partial 16S ribosomal RNA". It matches the Rfam family "Bacterial small subunit ribosomal RNA", at positions 338 to 795 of the family's 1533-position model. The record is from RNAcentral.
CCUACGGGUGGCAGCAGUGGGGAAUAUUGCACAAUGGGGGGAACCCUGAUGCAGCGACGCCGCGUGAGUGAAGAAGGAUUUCGGUAUGUAAAGCACUAUCAGCAGGGAAGAAAAUGACGGUACCUGACUAAGAAGCCACGGCUAACUACCUGCCAGCAGCCGCGGUAAUACGUAGGGUGCAAGCGUUAUCCGGAUUUACUGGGGGUAAAGUGAGCGCAGGCGGCUGUGCAAGUCUGGAGUGAAAGGCGCGGGCCCAACCCGCGGACUGCUCUGGAAACUGUAAAGCUGGAGUGCAGGAGAGGGAAGCGGAAUUCCUGGUGUAGCGGUGAAAUGCGUAGAGAUUAGGAGGAACACCAGUGGCGAAGGCGGCUUACUGGACUGAAACUGACGUUGAGGCUCGAAAGCGUGGGGAGCAAACAGGAUUAGAUACCCUUGUAGUC